This 471-nucleotide ribosomal RNA is filed under the name Salmonella enterica. RNAcentral describes it as "bacterial SSU rRNA". It matches the Rfam family "Bacterial small subunit ribosomal RNA", at positions 1 to 468 of the family's 1533-position model. Lineage: Bacteria; Pseudomonadati; Pseudomonadota; Gammaproteobacteria; Enterobacterales; Enterobacteriaceae. The record is from RNAcentral.
AAAUUGAAGAGUUUGAUCAUGGCUCAGAUUGAACGCUGGCGGCAGGCCUAACACAUGCAAGUCGAACGGUAACAGGAAGCAGCUUGCUGCUUCGCUGACGAGUGGCGGACGGGUGAGUAAUGUCUGGGAAACUGCCUGAUGGAGGGGGAUAACUACUGGAAACGGUGGCUAAUACCGCAUAAUGUCGCAGGACCAAAGAGGGGGACCUUCGGGCCUCUUGCCAUCAGAUGUGCCCAGAUGGGAUUAGCUUGUUGGUGAGGUAACGGCUCACCAAGGCGACGAUCCCUAGCUGGUCUGAGAGGAUGACCAGCCACACUGGAACUGAGACACGGUCCAGACUCCUACGGGAGGCAGCAGUGGGGAAUAUUGCACAAUGGGCGCAAGCCUGAUGCAGCCAUGCCGCGUGUAUGAAGAAGGCCUUCGGGUUGUAAAGUACUUUCAGCGGGGAGGAAGGUGUUGUGGUUAAUAACC